AACUGAAGCCAAGAAAUAAAUCCUUCUUCUUUAGGGAUUCCUUUUAUAGAAGGGAAAGCCCACAGACAGGUGGCCCUAGUCUAUGUAGUGCAUGGCUUUCAGCUGCUUGUCAGAAUAAUAGAUGACAUUUCUCUGAAUUCUAAGGGUGAAGGGCUUACUGAAGGUAUUUGUCCUGAUCUCCUCCUCUUGUCUCUACUGAGUGGAUCAAGAAAACCCUCUCACAGCACUCAAAGAGCAAAGGAAAAAUGCCAAAAUGAGUGGGUGAGCUCAGCCAAUGGUCAAAGGCUGUUUUAUUAUGACGUUAAGUAUUUAAGACAGACUGAGCUGAUUGAUUAUAUUAAUCCUGCUGCUCUGGGCUCAAAAAGGCAUUGUUUCCUCUGAAACCAAACAGGCAUGAAGCCCUUCUAUGAAUGAAUCAAAAACAUUUCACCACAUGCUAAAGAAACGGUUCAUGUGACUCAUCCGCAAAGGAGCCCAAGAGGGUGGCGGAGAAGAAGAGAAAAGCAACGAUUUUCCAGACCCUUUUAAAGGACAUCCAGCCACAAUAGAGCACACUGCAGUGAGCUGAAGUGAAUGUUGCCAAGUCAUAAUGACAAGACUGUUUCCCUCCACCCUCCCAAGAAAUGACAGAAUUCGCACUACAGCCCAUGUAGUAAAAAGGUUUUCCAAGAGCAGAACCAGGAAAAGAGUGAAGACAAGUCCAAGGAUGGAUCAAGGAGGGAAAUGAGCUUACCAUCUCAAGAGCAUGCUCUCCAUGGAGAAUCAUAUUAGGGGAGAUCCUCAUAUUUGGAGAACUUCUUUGUCGAUGAGACUGAUCUAGAAACAGGAAAGGAUAACAGAACCAUAUGAUGGAAGAGAAACAAAUUAUCUUCGGAAAUGAAUUGCGGUGAUGAGAUCAGCGUAUCCUUUCAACCUCUCCUGAGUGAUGAUAUGUCAACUAUCUUCCACUUUACAAAAUGAUCAUGCAAAUAAAGGGAAUUUAUUUAUGAGUUCUGGGCAUGAGGCGAAUAAUGAGGUCCUUAAUUGAGUUGGCCUUUGCCUUAAGCAUUAUUUAGAAGGAGGGUGUCAGGAGGGUACAGUAUGAUACUUCAGGCAAACAAGCCAGACUCUUGUCUUGCUAACUGUCUAAGUUCAAAUAGAUUUUUCCCUUUAAUGGGGACAAUAAAAAAGGCAAUCUGGGUUUAAAAGACAUUCUGUGCCAAUUCCCACUUUUGUAGGAAACAAAUGAAAACCCAAAGUGAUAGAGCCAGAUCCUGCUCUUUUCUUACAGUGGAGUUUGAUUAAGAAAAAGAACCCAACAUAAACAUAUGGAGAUGAAGAGUUGUCGUGAUCUAUUCUGCAGGGGUAUACACACAUCACAAACAAGGCACUUCGUUAUCAUACCAUGUUGAGAGGCCAUCUUAUGGGAUAUUGAAAUUUGUAGUUUAAUAAUAACAAUAACAAUAAUAAUAUCCACCUCUCCUGGGAAUAAGGUGGAAUAUAAAUAAAGGAAGGAUGGAUGCAUGGAUGGAAAUGGAGAUUCAUGGAUAGACCCUGAGAUCUGGCAACCCAAGAUGGCCAUUGCAUGCUAAUAUCCAUACCAUAUCUCUUAGAAUUAUCAGGAGAGCAGAAGGCAGAAUCUUGCCUUCCUUGUUGAAAAUUAUAAAAUUGCAUUGGAGAGGUAUGAUUCCCCUCUGAGGUCACCAUAGAGCAGUGGUUCUCAACCUGAAGUCUCCAGAUUUUUUGUCCUUCAACUCCCAGAAAUCCUAACAGCUGAUAAACUGGCUGGGAGUUCUGGGAGUUGUAGGCCAAAAACAUCUGGGGACCCCAGGUUGAGAACCACUGCCAUAGAGUUACAUUAAAGGCCCUAGCAAAUCCUUAAAGAGGAUACCUCUCCAAUGCAUCUCUAUAGUACGCUGGGAUUGAAAGCUAUGCAAUUUAAUGGCAUUGGGUCCUAUCCACAGUUUCAUGUCACCAUUGCCAGGAGCAUAUCCUCUAUGGCUCCAAGGGCUUUAUUGUACUUUUGUGUUUUGAACUUACUUUGCAGCAAGUGUGCUGAGGACAAAGGGGAAGGAGAGAGAAAUCAGGACAUUUUAAGAACACCUGAAAAAUUAAGGAACCCCAAGGAGUGCAUUGCUUUCUUUUCUAUACUCACAGCAAAUGGGCCAGGUAGGUUGGGAUAAGAGAGAAGCUGGCCCAAGAUCACCCAGUGACUUUCAUACCAUUCUUAAACCGUCUUUGUUCUUGGAUGAGAUCAUGUUGCUUCCAUACCCUGACAUCCCUUCUCUGCCUGCCACUUUCUCAGAAGAAUCAAUUUUCAGUGAACUCUGAAAGUUACAAGAUCAGGAAGAGCUUUUAAGGACAGACACCAUGUCCACUUCCCCUGGGUUGUUGUGUUGGGGCCUAAGCAAAAAAGUAAUCUGGUGUAUGGCUUGGAAUGCUCAAUUGAGAUUUGACAGCUCAACUUUCUAGUCAUCAUGGAGCCGUAAUGACAUCUGCCAGCAAUGAACGGAUCAAAGCAUUGACAUCUCCAGCCCAUCCUCUGUUCGGAUAUCAGCCAGCAUGCCAAUGCCUUAAAUCAGGAAAUAGUUUUCUAAGAUCUACAGAGAUACUUCCAGGAACACCCCAGCAAGCAAGAGUCCAAAAGUGGCAGGCUAAAACCCAGAACUUCAAUUAGUGGCUGACGCCAGAUGAGAGACUCCCCCCUGGGCACACAGAAAACUGGGUGGCUUGGAAGGUGCUGAACAGACUGCACUCUAGUACCAUAAGAUGCAGAGCCAACCUUACGAAAUGGGGCUACAAAGUGGAGUCGAUGACAUGCGAGUGUGGGGAAGAGCAAACCACAGACCACUGACUACAAUGUAAUCUGAGCCCUGCCACAUGCACAAUGGAGGACCUUCUUACAGCAACACCAGAGACACUCCAAGUGGCCAGCUACUAGUCAAAGGACAUUUAGUAUAAGGCCAAAUUUUUUAAACUUUAUUUGUGUUUUCAAAUACAUUAAAACUUGUACCCUCGGUUCGCUUCUGACACGACAAAUAAAUAAAUGGAGCCAUGUAACUCACUGGGUGAACUUAAGCCAGUUUCAGCCUAAUCUACUUUACAAAGUUGCUGUGAGAAUGACACAGGGAAGUGGAGACUUGUGUCUGCCUGCUGGAGUUGACUGGAGGAAAAGUGCAAUAUAAAUACAACAAAUAAAGAAGUUAGUUUCAAUGAUAAAACCCUCUACCAGGUUAAGAUCUCUUGUUGGCUCAUAUGCCACAAAACUAGAAGCUAAAGCUGACGUGUUUCACAGUAAUGAAGUCAUGAAUUCACAAGAUAGGAGAUUCCAGCUAAACACCAUUUGCCAGCCUUAAAGGAGCUAUCAUAAGUGCUGAAAUCUUCCUCCAAAGUAGAUUCAGCACCUUUAAAGUUCAGACUAAAAUUCAGAGUGGUUUUAUCAACUCACUAAUGUGGGAACUGUUUACGACACAGACAGGAAAAGGGAGUCACUUGGCUACCACCUUAUUUGUGGCUUUAUAGAUUUAAAGAAUCUCAGUGUAAAUUACUUUGUACUAUGUAGCCUUGGAACUUUAUAAUUGAUAGUCAUUGUCAGUACAAGUUUCAACAUGGAAAAAUCCUUUAACUGCUUCACAAUAAAUGAAGACUGUACUCAAGAAACCAAAGGCUGAGACAUGGAAAGGCAAUCAUGAAGAAACUAGAGAAGAUACAAAUGUGUAAUGAUGUAUCAUUAAAUCUUGAAGUUAGAAUAAUACAAGCUUCUGAUUUCUGAUUUCUAUGCAUGGUUGUGAAAACUGGGCAUGGAGGAAAGUUAACAGGGAAGAAGAUCAGCUUAUUUGAACUGUGGUGUUGUAUUGCCACUUGUCAGAGAGUUCUGCAGAUACCAUUGAGUGCUUGGAAGACCAACAAAUAGGUCCCAGAGCAAAUGAGGUUGAGCUUUCCCCAAGAGUGAAGAUGAUGAAACUGAGGCUGUCAUACUUUGGGCAUAUCAUGAGACAACUUGGUUGAUUAGAAAGGAUGAUCAGACUUUUAAAGUGGUAGAAAAAGAGGGGGAGCACACUAAUGAUAGAUUGAUUCAGUCAGAUAAAGGAAAAGGUUUUCCCCUGACGUUUAGUCCAGUCGUGACCAACUCUGGGUGUUGGUGCUCAUCUCCAUUUCUAAGUCGAAGACCUAUUGAUCUACUCACAUUUGCAUGUUUUCGAACUGCUAGCUUGGCAGGAGCUGGGGCUAACAGCUGGCGCUCAUUCCGCUCCCGGGAUUUGAACCUGGGACCUUUUGAUCUGCAAGUUCAGCAGCUCAGCGCUUUAACACACUGUGCCACCAGGGACCCCUGAUUCAGUCAAGGAACCCUGAAUUUGCAAAACCUGAACAGGGCAAUUGCGGACCAGGGCUUAUGGAGGCCUCUCAUUCAUAAAAGGUAAAGGUUUUUCCCUGACAUUAAGUCUAGUCAUUGGCAGAAGCUGGGGCUAAUAGUGGGAUCUCAUCCUGCUCCUGGAAUUCAAACCAUUGACCUUUUGGUCAGCAAGUUCAGCAGCUCAGCGGUUUAAUCUGCUGCACCAUCAGGGGCUCAUACAUAGGGUCACUAUAAGUCAAAGCUGACUUGAUGGUAAAUAAGAACAACUUCCAUAGUCCAAUUAUAGGAAACCGAAAAAGGCCCUAUUUUGGAUUAUAAUCUCUGUGCUGGAUAUGGACUCUGGAAUUAUGUUCUCAAAAUACAACAAAUCCAGCCACUUGAUCAGCAUGGCAUAGUAAGAGCAGUGCCUAGCACCAGUGUGUUGUUGGUAUCUAUUCUCUUUUUGGAAAGGAGUGCAAAUUAGCCUCUGUGCAUGCAACCUGACCUGCUGGUUAGCUGCCUCCCAUUUAGCCACCCAUCUCUGGCUAGCUGCACAUAGACCUGCGUCACGGAGGCAGUUGAUAAAGCCAGUUUCCACCAAGUCACCAAGCAGGUAGAGCAGAGACUAGAUGAACCUCAUUUCAUGGGUCCCCACCCAGAGUAUUUGCUAUUGCUCGGCACUGCCUAUAGCAUCAGGGCAUCUUUUACCUUAACACUAUCCAAGCAAACAGGCUGGGGAAAAAAGUUGAAUGGCCUGUCUUAAAUCCAGAGUAAGCAUUAGCAUUUGAACAAAACCUCCUUUUCCUCCUUCUCUGACCCCCUCCCUCCAGCUCACCCCAGGUUAAUACACAAUCUAGAACGAUCUGUUGCUUUUGAAUCUAAGCUCUGGUGAAAAGCCAAAGAGAUGACGUUGUCAGUCUUGCUCGGUCAUGCAGUACACUGGCCAAUGCACAUUUUGGUGUCUCAAAAUUUUGACCUGCUGAUUUCUCAUAUGAGCUCUAGUUUUUGUGAUACAGAACAUAUACCAUAUAUCAAUAUUCAUCUGCUUACCCACAGAAAAUCAUGAGAACCAUAUAUAAAAACCAAGACACCAAGAAAAUGGGGGAGUGGGGAGAAAAGAUGGUAUUGAUCAUAUCAGCAUUUUCAACCAUUCUUCUUGGGAAUUAUACUGCCUAGAAUCCUCUGUCCCAAAUAGCUCCUAAAAUGGUGAAGGUUUAUGGGAUCUCCCACUUUGGGUUAGCCAAGUGAAUUGAGAAUUUAGUAGACCAUAAAACUUCGAUGGCCAUGAGUUUCAUCUGGGCUGAUGUGUUGUUUUGUGUUUAAUUCUGGAAUGUCACCUUCUUCAAAAUAAAGGGAAUUCAUUUGGACAUCAGGACCACAACGGCUGCUAAACAGAAACCCCAUGUCCUGCAGCAGUGAACCUCUGAAUACCAUUUGCUAGCGUCAAAUACAAAGAGAAGGAUGUUGUCUUUGAUUGAGAUCCUAUUUAAUGGUCACCAGGCAAAAAUGUAUGCUUCCAUAGCUAUGCUGGAAUUGUAAUGGAUCACACCACGUUGUGUGUAACGGGGCAACAAU
Molecule: long non-coding RNA, 5887 nt
Organism: Anolis carolinensis (green anole)
Lineage: Eukaryota; Metazoa; Chordata; Lepidosauria; Squamata; Anolidae
Exons: 6
Source: RefSeq, a predicted model, not a curated record